Molecule: small RNA, 97 nt
Filed under: Marmota monax (woodchuck)
Lineage: Eukaryota; Metazoa; Chordata; Mammalia; Rodentia; Sciuridae
Source: RNAcentral
GCUGGGCAUGGUGGCACAUGCCUGUGAUCCCAGCAGCAUGGGAGGCUGAGGCAGGAGGAUCGUGAGUUCAAAGCCAGCAACUUAGACCCUGUCUCAA